UACGAAGGGUGCAAGCGUUACUCGGAAUUACUGGGCGUAAAACGUGCGUAGGUGGUGAGUUAAGUCUGUCGUGAAAGCCCCGGGCUCAACCUGGGAAUGGCGAUGGAUACUGGCUCGCUAGAGUGCGGUAGAGGAGAGUGGAAUUCCCGGUGUAGCAGUGAAAUGCGUAGAGAUCGGGAGGAACAUCAGUUGCGAAGGCGGCUCUCUGGACCAGCACUGACACUGAGGCACGAAAGCGUGGGGAGCAAACAGG
RNAcentral lists this ribosomal RNA (253 nucleotides) under uncultured bacterium. RNAcentral describes it as "partial 16S ribosomal RNA". It matches the Rfam family "Bacterial small subunit ribosomal RNA", at positions 524 to 776 of the family's 1533-position model. The record is from RNAcentral.